RNAcentral lists this ribosomal RNA (520 nucleotides) under uncultured Halomonas sp. RNAcentral's name for it is "bacterial SSU rRNA". It matches the Rfam family "Bacterial small subunit ribosomal RNA", at positions 1 to 526 of the family's 1533-position model. The record is from RNAcentral. Lineage: Bacteria; Pseudomonadati; Pseudomonadota; Gammaproteobacteria; Oceanospirillales; Halomonadaceae.
UAGAGUUUGAUCAUGGCUCAGAUUGAACGCUGGCGGCAUGCCUAACACAUGCAAGUCGCACGCGAAAGGGGGCAACCCUGAGUAGAGUGGCGGACGGGUGAGUAACGCGUAGGAAUCUACCUGGUAGUGGGGGACAACCCGGUGAAAACCGGGCUAAUACCGCAUACGAUCCACGGAUGAAAGCAGGGGACCGCAAGGCCUUGCGCUAUCAGAUGAGCCUGCGUCGGAUUAGCUAGUUGGUGAGGUAACGGCUCACCAAGGCGACGAUCCGUAGCUGGUUUGAGAGAACGACCAGCCACACCGGAACUGAGACACGGUCCGGACUCCUACGGGAGGCAGCAGUGGGGAAUAUUGGACAAUGGGGGCAACCCUGAUCCAGCAAUGCCGCGUGUGUGAAGAAGGCCUUCGGGUUGUAAAGCACUUUCGGUGGGGACAAACAAGGCGGAGCUAACAUCUCCGUCUCUGAUGGUACCCAAAGAAGAAGCACCGGCUAACUCUGUGCCAGCCGCCGCGGKAAUUC